AAGUCGUAACAAGGUUUCCGUAGGUGAACCUGCGGAAGGAUCAUUAUUGAAAUAAACCUGAUGGGUUGUUGCUGGUUCUCUAGGGAGCAUGUGCACGCCUUGUCAUCUUUAUAUCUCCACCUGUGCACCUUUUGUAGACCUUCCAUGGUCUAUGUUGCUUCUUCAUUUACCCCAAUGUAUGUUAAUAGAAUGUUUGUGCCUAUGAAAAUCUAUACAACUUUCAGCAACGGAUCUCUUGGCUCUC
This 244-nucleotide unclassified non-coding RNA is filed under the name Cortinarius sp. RNAcentral's name for it is "partial contains small subunit ribosomal RNA, internal transcribed spacer 1, and 5.8S ribosomal RNA". The stretch from base 1 to 46 matches the Rfam family "Eukaryotic small subunit ribosomal RNA", at positions 1786 to 1831 of the family's 1831-position model. The record is from RNAcentral. Lineage: Eukaryota; Fungi; Basidiomycota; Agaricomycetes; Agaricales; Cortinariaceae.